Molecule: ribosomal RNA, 397 nt
Filed under: uncultured bacterium
Lineage: Bacteria
Description: bacterial SSU rRNA
Rfam family: Bacterial small subunit ribosomal RNA
Source: RNAcentral
GACGAACGCUGGCGGCGUGCUUAACACAUGCAAGUCGAGCGGUAAGGCCCUUUCGGGGGUACGACGAGCGGCGAACGGGUGAGUAACACGUGGGUGACCUGCCCUCAGCUCUGGGAUAAGCCUGGGAAACUGGGUCUAAUACUGGAUAUGACUCCACGGUGCAUGUCGUGGGGUGGAAAGCCUUGUGCGGCUGAGGAUGGGCCCGCGGCCUAUCAGCUUGUUGGUGGGGUGAGGCCUACCAAGGCGACGACGGGUAGCCGGCCUGAGAGGGCGACCGGCCACACUGGGACGUGAGACACGGCCCAGACUCCUACGGGAGGCAGCAGUGGGGAAUCUUGCGCAAUGGGCGAAAGCCUGACGCAGCGACGCCGCGUGAGGGAUGACGGCCUCGGUGUAA